This 379-nucleotide ribosomal RNA is filed under the name Ciliophora sp. RNAcentral describes it as "SSU rRNA". It matches the Rfam family "Eukaryotic small subunit ribosomal RNA", at positions 587 to 975 of the family's 1831-position model. The record is from RNAcentral. RNAcentral also lists the same sequence under 1 other name. Lineage: Eukaryota; Ciliophora.
AGCUCCAAUAGCGUAUAUUAAAGUUGUUGCAGUUAAAAAGCUCGUAGUUGGAUUUCUGGCGGUGUGACUCCGGCCGGCAUGACGUCGGGUCCAGAGCGCGCCACCAUCCUUCUGUCAACCUUCGCGGGAUUCGCUUCCCGCGUCGUGGGCUCAGAUAUUUUACCUUGAGAAAAUUAGAGUGUUUCAGGCAGGCUUUCGCCGGAAUACAUUAGCAUGGAAUAAUAGAAAAGGACUUCAACCUCUUCUGUUGGUCUGAGGGGCUGUAGUAAUGAUUAAUAGGGAUAGUUGGGGGCAUUAGUACUUGACUGUCAGAGGUGAAAUUCUCCGAUUUGUUAAAGACUAACUUAUGCGAAAGCAUUUGCCAAGGAUGUUUUCAUUA